RNAcentral lists this ribosomal RNA (253 nucleotides) under uncultured bacterium. RNAcentral describes it as "partial 16S ribosomal RNA". It matches the Rfam family "Bacterial small subunit ribosomal RNA", at positions 524 to 776 of the family's 1533-position model. The record is from RNAcentral.
UACGGAGGGUGCGAGCGUUAUUCGGAAUUACUGGGCGUAAAGCGCACGUAGGCGGUCAGGCAAGUCGGAUGUGAAAGCCCCGGGCUCAACCCGGGAAGUGCAUUCGAAACUGCGUGGCUAGAGUAUCGGAGAGGUUGGUGGAAUUCUCGGUGUAGAGGUGAAAUUCGUAGAUAUCGAGAGGAACACCGGUGGCGAAGGCGGCCAACUGGACGAAUACUGACGCUGAGACACGAAAGCGUGGGGAGCAAACAGG